This 1640-nucleotide long non-coding RNA is filed under the name Canis lupus familiaris (dog). Its description in RNAcentral is "lncRNA (ENSCAFG00000058955.1)". Lineage: Eukaryota; Metazoa; Chordata; Mammalia; Carnivora; Canidae. The record is from RNAcentral.
UGCGCGCGCCCCCGCCCCGCGCCCCCCGCGCCCCCGCCCCGCGCCCCCCCCGCCCCGCUACCCCGCGCCCCCGCGGCCCCCGCGCCCCCGCGGCCCCCGCGCCCCCCGCGCCCCCGCCCCCGCUUGUGUGCGCGGCUGUGGCCGGUCGAGGCCCGACCACCUGCUCCGAGGACUGUGUUUCUUGCUGACACCAAACGCCCGGCAGGGGGUGGAAUGAAAAGGACAAAUAAAUUAACUGUAAAGAAAAAACAACCCUUCCCGCAUUCUGCCACCUACAACGGCCUCUCCAUUCCCAAGCGUUCUCUCAGGGCCACCACCAGGCCCAGAAACCGCCGGAAGGGGGAAGGGACGUGGAUAAGAGCUAGAGAGUGUUGGUCUCCCUUUGGAGCUGAUUUGACCUCACUCCCCUUCUGGCAAAGCUUUUAUUUGCAUUUCCCUUGUGCACCCAACAGCUCACUCCCUAGGGACAGGUACUGUCAACAGUUCAGUGUGGAAUAAAGGAACGUAGUUGCUUCUUUCCUGAACAUGACCAAGAAAAGGAUUCCAAAGAACAUGGUCUGAAGGAAAACAGACCACAGAGCUUACAAGGAUCUCUGCUUGCUGAGUUGUAAGAUUCGUCUGUGGAGCAACUCACUGAUGCCUGACUUCUGCUAUCUGUUUUGGAAGAAAAGCCUAAGGUAGGUAAUAUGUGAUUGUCACGUGGAAUCUAAGAUUCGGUGGCAGUCACCAGGCAAAUGACCAUUCCAUCCUCUGGAUAAGGUGUGAACAGGUUCUGGUUAGAUGUCAGUGUGUCCACCUGGUUGCUGCCACGGUUAAACCUUAACCAACAUGAACGUCUUUAUGUUAAACUAACCUGUCACAUUGUUAGUGUGCAGAGCCUUGGGGAAUGGGACAGGUGUGUUUUAAGGCGAGGAAGAGGAACUUGGGUUGGUGAGUCAAUGCCUGGGGCGAGGGGGGUGGGCAUCAUAAUCAUAAUAGUUCCAGCUCUGGGCAGCUGGAACUCUGGAGGGAAUUUGGAAGGGAAAGAAGGGGCCAUGGUUCCAGGGGUGGGCUAUGUCCAGGGGAUGAGUUUUACACACUUUACUUUGCCUGGGGGCAGACAGUAAUAAUUAUGAUAUAAAGUUAAAUUUGGGUCGAUUUUGAUUAAUUUAUAUCGGCACAGACUUGUCAAAGGACUCUAUCUCUCUACGUCCUGCUCCAGAACCUUGACCUUGCAGGGAUUUGAACAGAUCUUGAAAGGCUGAGUAAGGAGGAGUAGCCACACUGUCAGCAGGGCCCCCUUGCAUGGCCCAUCACAGAUCACUGUGUGGCCCUGUGACCAGAUUCAGCCCCAGGAGGGAUGAGUGCAAGUGGUGUGUGCAGUUUUUCUGUCCUGCCCUCUGUGUUCCCCUUGAAGCCUUACAUGCCUUGCCCAGUGACCAGGGAAGUAGGGCACAAGUGGUUGUUUUCACAGAUAUUCUUCUGAUUUUAGUCUAUACCAUCAUUCAGGCCAUCACGUUCCCUUUCCAUCCACAUCUGGCAUCUUGGUUGACAUCCCAGGUGAAGCCUAGAAAUAAACGCUGACAGCAAGAUUCCAGUGCAGGUCGUUUCUUUGAGAAGGUGAUUCUAGGAAACAUAAAUAGGGAAGAGGGGAAAGUGUG